GCCUUCCGCCUCUGCCGCCGGCCGCCCGCGCCGUCCUGUUCGGCGCUGCCCGUCGCCCUCGUCGUGCC
Molecule: transfer RNA, 68 nt
Filed under: Streptomyces mutabilis
Lineage: Bacteria; Bacillati; Actinomycetota; Actinomycetes; Kitasatosporales; Streptomycetaceae
Source: RNAcentral